RNAcentral lists this ribosomal RNA (230 nucleotides) under Mytilus edulis (blue mussel). RNAcentral's name for it is "partial 16S ribosomal RNA". The stretch from base 1 to 111 matches the Rfam family "Bacterial large subunit ribosomal RNA", at positions 2536 to 2646 of the family's 2925-position model. Lineage: Eukaryota; Metazoa; Mollusca; Bivalvia; Mytilida; Mytilidae. The record is from RNAcentral.
CUUUAGGUGUCCUAGAGGUGUAGAAGCCUCUAAGGGUAGGUCUGUUCGCCCUUUAAAAUCUAACAUGAGCUGAGUUCAGAACGGCGUGAGCUAGUUCAGUUUCUAUCCUCUUUUAAAAAUAAGCUAAUUUUGUACGAAAGGACUUUUUCGCUAAAGUAAUGCUUUGGCCCAGCCCUAUAAUUACACAAAUAUUGGUAUAUGACGAGCUGAUCAACUCAUAAAAAGGGCUG